RNAcentral lists this ribosomal RNA (253 nucleotides) under uncultured bacterium. RNAcentral's name for it is "partial 16S ribosomal RNA". It matches the Rfam family "Bacterial small subunit ribosomal RNA", at positions 524 to 776 of the family's 1533-position model. The record is from RNAcentral.
UACGUAGGGUGCGAGCGUUAAUCGGAAAUUACUGGGCGUAAAGCGUGCGCAGGCGGUUUGUAAGCCAGAUGUGAAAUCCCCGGGCUUAACCUGGGAAUGGCAUUUGGGACUGCAAGGCUUGAGUGCGGCAGAGGAGACUGGAAUUCCUGGUGUAGCAGUGAAAUGCGUAGAUAUCAGGAGGAAUACCGAUGGCGAAGGCAGGUCUCUGGGCUGACACUGACGCUCAUGCACGAAAGGCGUGGGAGCAAACAGG